GGUGCAGGUGAUGAUACUGUUCAGCGACCAAAGUCUGACAAAAAUGAUUGCUACUCAUCAUCUGAUGCACC
Small nucleolar RNA from Myotis lucifugus (little brown bat), 71 nucleotides. NCBI's taxonomy places the organism in Eukaryota, Metazoa, Chordata, Mammalia, Chiroptera, Vespertilionidae. The record is from Ensembl.